AGAUUGAACGCUGGCGGCAUGCCUAACACAUGCAAGUCGAACGCGCUCCAUUCGGUAGCAAUACUGAUGAAGAGUGAGUGGCGAACGGGUGAGUAACACAUGAGCAACCUGCCCCGAAGACUGGGACAACACCGGGAAACCGGUGCUAAUACCGGAUAUCCCUAUCGGACCGCAUGAUCUGAUAAGGAAAUGGAUUCCGCUUCGGGAGGGGCUCGUGGCCUAUCAGCUAGUUGGUGAGGUAACGGCUCACCAAGGCAUCGACGGGUAGCUGGUCUGAGAGGACGAUCAGCCACACUGGGACUGAGACACGGCCCAGACUCCUACGGGAGGCAGCAGUGGGGAAUCUUGCGCAAUGGGCGAAAGCCUGACGCAGCAACGCCGCGUGGAGGACGAAGGCUUUCUGAGUUGUAAACUCCUUUCAGCAGGGACGAUAGUGACGGUACCUGCAGAGAAGCACCGGCAACUACGCG
Molecule: ribosomal RNA, 470 nt
Filed under: uncultured bacterium
Lineage: Bacteria
Description: SSU rRNA
Rfam family: Bacterial small subunit ribosomal RNA
Source: RNAcentral